Alnus glutinosa is the source of this 688-nucleotide long non-coding RNA. RefSeq lists it as uncharacterized. NCBI's taxonomy places the organism in Eukaryota, Viridiplantae, Streptophyta, Magnoliopsida, Fagales, Betulaceae. The transcript is spliced from 4 exons. The record is from RefSeq and is a predicted model, not a curated record.
GGUAAUGAAUAAAAGACAAUCAAUAUUAGUAUGGGUGUUAAACAAAGAGCAGGUCUUGUCUUUUAUGUAAGCGCAUGCCACGCAUUAAAAGGAGGCAGAGCCUCUUUUCUCUAGGCUAUUACGGAAAAAACGGUGGUUUUCUCUCAAUUUCUCCUUGGUUCUUCGUAUAAAAAAAAAAAUGCUGAUCUAUGAAAAUCUAGCCAUUCGAUUUUAGAUCCGACUUCGGUAACGUGAUCCUCAAAGCUCGAUCUACGUUUUGACCGAACGUUUUGAGAUUUUCUGUGGUUUGGAGUUCGUAGGAGCUUCCCGAACAUUUGGUCUUUGCUUGACAAAUUUUUGUAAUGCAUUGUAUGGGGGUGUCUAGGAGACCUAGUGCUUAAUAUCCGCGCAGCCAAGACAUUGAUGCUUUGGUUGCAGGUUCUGCGGAUAUAGAUAAUGACUCGUCCACCUAGCGUAUGGGAUAUUAUGAUUGGAGCACAUCGCGACAGUUAUAUGUCAUAGACUCAUGGGUAGUCUGCAUUUGGGUAUUUAAUUUAUGGCUCGUGUCAUACGUGACAUAUGUAUUUGUUGAGCCUGUUAUUUAGUAUGUAAUUAGUGUAAUAUGUUUUAUAAGCUUUAAUCAGUUAGACAUGUAAAUGGCUCUUGUCGUCGAUAACAGUUAUAUAUUAGAUGUGUUUCCGCUAUUUUA